GUUUGAUCAUGGCUCAGAACGUACGCUGGCGGCACGCCUAACACAUGCAAGUCGAACGAAGUAGCAAUACUUAGUGGCAGACGGGUGAGUAACAUGUAGGUAUCUUCCCUUUGGUGAGGAAUAACACGAGGAAACUUGUGCUAAUACCUCAUAAGUCUUUACGGAGAAAGCUUUAUGCGCCGAAGGAUGAGCCUGCAUUUGAUUAGUUUGUUGGUGGGGUAAUGGCCUACCAAGACUUUGAUCAAUAGCUGAUCUGAGAGGAUGAUCAGCCACAUUGGGACUGAGACACGGCCCAAACUCCUACGGGAGGCAGCAGUAGGGAAUAUUGCACAAUGGAGGAAACUCUGAUGCAGCGAUGCCGCGUGAGUGAAGAAGGCCCUUGGGUUGUAAAGCUCUUUCGUCGGGGAAGAAAAUGACUGUACCCGAAUAAGAAGGUCCGGCUAACUUCGUGCCAGCAGCCGCGGUAAUACGAAGGGACCUAGCGUAGUUCGGAAUUACUGGGCUUAAAGAGUUCGUAGGUGGUUAAAAAAGUUGGUGGUGAAAUCCCAGAGCUUAACUCUGGAACUGCCAUCAAAACUUUUUAGCUAGAGUAUGAUAGAGGAAAGCAGAAUUUCUAGUGUAGAGGUGAAAUUCGUAGAUAUUAGAAAGAAUACCAAUUGCGAAGGCAGCUUUCUGGAUCAUUACUGACGCUGAGGAACGAAAGCAUGGGUAGCGAAGAGGAUUAGAUACCCUCGUAGUCCAUGCCGUAAACGAUGUGUGUUAGACGUUGGAAAUUUAUUUUCAGUGUCGCAGCGAAAGCGUUAAACACACCGCCUGGGGAGUACGACCGCAAGGUUAAAACUCAAAUGAAUUGACGGGGACCCGCACAAGUAGUGGAGCAUGUGGUUUAAUUCGAAGAUACGCGCAGAACCUUACCAACACUUGACAUGUUCGUCGCGACUUUAAGAGAUUAAAGUUUUCGGUUCGGCCGGACGAAACACAGGUGCUGCAUGGCUGUCGUCAGCUCGUGUCGUGAGAUGUUCCGUUAAGUCGGAUAACGAGCGCAACCCUUACCCUUAUUUGCCAGCGAUUCGGUCGGGAACUAUAAGGGGACUGCCGGUGAUAAACCGGAGGAAGGUGAGGACGACGUCAAGUCAUCAUGGCCCUUACGAGUAGGGCUACACACGUGCUACAAUGGGGAAUACAGACGGACGCUAAGCCGCGAGGUGGUGCUAAUCCUAGAAAGUUCUUCGUAGUCCGGAUUGGAGUCUGCAACUCGACUCCAUGAAGUCGGAAUCGCUAGUAAUCGCGAAUCAGCAUGUCGCGGUGAAUACGUUCUCGGGUCUUGUACACACCGCCCGUCACACCAUGGAAGUGGAUUGCACCAGAAGUAGAUAGUCUAACCUUCGGGAGGGCGUUUACCACGGUGUGCUUCAUGACUGGGGUGAAGUCAUAACAAGGUAACCGUA
This 1448-nucleotide ribosomal RNA is filed under the name uncultured bacterium. RNAcentral's name for it is "partial 16S ribosomal RNA". It matches the Rfam family "Bacterial small subunit ribosomal RNA". The record is from RNAcentral.